UACAGAGGUCCCAAGCGUUGUUCGGAUUCACUGGGCUUAAAGCGCGUGUAGGCGGCCCGGCGCGUCUUUCGCUGAAAUCCCCCGGCUCAACCGGGGAAGGGGCGGGGAUACGGCCGGGCUGGAGGGGGGUAGGGGGAUCGGGAACUUCCGGUGGAGCGGUGAAAUGCGUUGAGAUCGGAAGGAACGCCCGCGGCGAAAGCGCGGUCCUGGACCCCACCUGACGCUGAGACGCGAAAGCCAGGGGAGCGAACGGG
RNAcentral lists this ribosomal RNA (254 nucleotides) under uncultured bacterium. RNAcentral describes it as "partial 16S ribosomal RNA". It matches the Rfam family "Bacterial small subunit ribosomal RNA", at positions 524 to 776 of the family's 1533-position model. The record is from RNAcentral.